CCUACGGGGGGCAGCAGUGAGGAAUAUUGGUCAAUGGACGAGAGUCUGAACCAGCCAAGUAGCGUGAAGGAUGACUGCCCUAUGGGUUGUAAACUUCUUUUAUAUGGGAAUAAAAUGUUCCACGUGUGGGAUUUUGUAUGUACCCUAUGAAUAAGGACCGGCUAACUCCGUGCCAGCAGCCGCGGUAAUACGGAGGAUCCGAGCGUUAUCCGGAUUUAUUGGGUUUAAAGGGAGCGUAGGUGGGUUGUUAAGUCAGUUGUGAAAGUUUGCGGCUCAACCGUAGAAUUGCAGUUGAAACUGGCAGUCUUGAGUGCAGUAGAGGUGGGCGGAAUUCGUGGUGUAGCGGUGAAAUGCUUAGAUAUCACGAAGAACUCCGAUUGCGAAGGCAGCUCGCUGGACUGCAACUGACACUGAGGCUCGAAAGUGUGGGUAUCAAACAGGAUUAGAUACCCUUGUAGUC
This 460-nucleotide ribosomal RNA is filed under the name uncultured bacterium. Its description in RNAcentral is "partial 16S ribosomal RNA". It matches the Rfam family "Bacterial small subunit ribosomal RNA", at positions 338 to 795 of the family's 1533-position model. The record is from RNAcentral.